GGGGGUGUAGCUCAGUGGUAGAGUGCUUGCCUUCAUGUGCAAGGCCCUGGGUUCAAUCCUCUGUACUACCA
RNAcentral lists this transfer RNA (71 nucleotides) under Fukomys damarensis (Damara mole-rat). It matches the Rfam family "tRNA". Rfam says of the family: Transfer RNA (tRNA) molecules are approximately 80 nucleotides in length. Their secondary structure includes four short double-helical elements and three loops (D, anti-codon, and T loops). Further hydrogen bonds mediate the characteristic L-shaped molecular structure. tRNAs have two regions of fundamental functional importance: the anti-codon, which is responsible for specific mRNA codon recognition, and the 3' end, to which the tRNAs corresponding amino acid is attached (by aminoacyl-tRNA synthetases). tRNAs cope with the degeneracy of the genetic code in two manners: having more than one tRNA (with a specific anti-codon) for a particular amino acid; and 'wobble' base-pairing, i.e. permitting non-standard base-pairing at the 3rd anti-codon position. The record is from Rfam by way of RNAcentral. Lineage: Eukaryota; Metazoa; Chordata; Mammalia; Rodentia; Bathyergidae.